RNAcentral lists this ribosomal RNA (505 nucleotides) under uncultured bacterium. RNAcentral describes it as "bacterial SSU rRNA". It matches the Rfam family "Bacterial small subunit ribosomal RNA", at positions 30 to 532 of the family's 1533-position model. The record is from RNAcentral.
AUUGAACGCUGGCGGUAUGCUUUACACAUGCAAGUCGAACGGUAACAGGUCUUCGGAUGCUGACGAGUGGCGAACGGGUGAGUAAUGUAUCGGAACGUGCCUAGUAAUGGGGGAUAACCACUCGAAAGAGUGACUAAUACCGCAUAAUAUCUCAGGAUGAAAGCGGGGGAUCGCAAGACCUCGCGUUAUUAGAGCGGCCGAUAUCAGAUUAGGUAGUUGGUGGGAUAAAAGCCUACCAAGCCAACGAUCUGUAGCUGGUCUGAGAGGACGACCAGCCACACUGGGACUGAGACACGGCCCAGACUCCUACGGGAGGCAGCAGUGGGGAAUUUUGGACAAUGGGCGAAAGCCUGAUCCAGCAAUACCGCGUGCAGGACGAAGGCCUUCGGUUGUAAACUGCUUUGUACGGAACGAAACGGUUCAGAUUAAUACUCUGAACUAAUGACGGUACCGUAAGAAUAAGCACCGGCUAACUACGUGCCAGCAGCCGCGGUAAAACGUACUA